RNAcentral lists this transfer RNA (74 nucleotides) under Chloroflexota bacterium. Its description in RNAcentral is "Chloroflexi bacterium tRNA-Gln". It matches the Rfam family "tRNA". Rfam says of the family: Transfer RNA (tRNA) molecules are approximately 80 nucleotides in length. Their secondary structure includes four short double-helical elements and three loops (D, anti-codon, and T loops). Lineage: Bacteria; Bacillati; Chloroflexota. The record is from RNAcentral.
UGGGGUAUCGUCUAGUGGUAGGACGCGCGGCUCUGGACCGUGAAGCGGUGGUUCGAAUCCAUCUACCCCAGCCA